CAGAGCUGCGUCCUCCGCAGCCCGGGGAGCGCGCUGGUCUUCCUUGUUUUCAGAAAAAGGGAAACUGAGGCAGGAGGCUGUGAAGUUGCUUCCCAGGUCUCACUGACCACCUGGUUCUAGGGCCCUUGCUCAGUCACCGAAUAGCGAUCCUGCCACUCAAGAGGACAGAAAGGCGCCUCUGUCCUCAUGGUGCUAACGCGCACGGGGCAGGGGCUGGGCAGGGCAGAGGUCGGUGGUGACGCUCACGCUGGGCAAGUGCGGGGCCCUGGAUUCCACCUCCAGCCAGAAGAUAUCAAAGCAGAAGCAGCAGAGUGACCCGGCCUCGGUCCCAGGGGCCCUGGUCACUAAGUGUGUCUGUCCCCACCCAUUUCCACCCUGAGCAGCUCGUGAGGGUUCGGCGGUGUCCAGUUUCACCACGGGCAUGCCAGCCGCACCAGCGGGUGGAGGAGGCCACCGGGAUCGGCCACAGAGAAGGCCCGGCCGCAGCUCCACCCAGCUGCACAGGCACAGCUGUGAGGAUCGAGGGGCCCAGAGAGACGCUGCCCGGGGUGCUAUGGUCCUCGGGGAGGGAGGCGAGAUCCCUGCGACUCAGAUCUGGCCUCUCUCACCUCUCAGCCUCGUUCCCAGCAAGAGGCCACAGCCCUGCGGAGCCCCGACCCUCCGCCCGACCAGCACGGCCGGCAGCCCCCCGGGGAGCUGAGUCCCUUCAUCCCCGGGAGGCUUGCUGUGCGCCAUGGACGGGUCCCGCCCAGCACUGGACUCCCGGGACAGGAAAAGGCAACCACUUCCCAGGAGCACUUGGUGGCCGAGCCAGAAUUGCUAGAAAGAACUGGGAAGGAGGGGCGGAGACCCACUGGUGAUCAGGAGUGUGGCCAGUGGGCAGGGGACAGCAUAAAGGUUCACAGGCUCGGUCACUGGCUCACUCACCCCCGGGGAUGUUCGUGACAGUGGGCCCAGCAGGUGCCUCUAGGGACAGCGUGGGCACCUGGCUGGGACCAUCUCUGACUUGUUCCCUGAUGAUCCCCCAGGGCUUCAAGUCCCGAGAGGCUCACAGCAAGAACUCGGUAACCCUCAGCUACUUCAGUGACGCUAAGGGACAGGAAGGAACGGAAGUGCCUACCGACAGCCUCCACCUGGGGCUCCUGCAGCACAGACAUGCUGGGACCCAACCCAGACCCAGGGGGCGUCCAGGGGGACCAGGACACGGGGCACCCCCGACCCCCGCCAAGGCGUGAGUCCCGCCCAGUGUGAACUCCUCUGCACCCAGGGACAGCUCAGCUCAGAGGGGUCGAGACCUCGUCCUGGACGCAGGAAGCGGUUGCCCCAGGAUCUGAACUCGGGCUGGGCUGCACCCGCCAGGCACCCCGAGCUGGCGCAGCCUCCGUGCCUCCUCGGGGCAGAGAGCCGGAGGACGCCGAGCGGUCAGCACACGCAUGGAGCAGAGCCUCAGGGUCCCCUUUCCUUUUCCGUCCUGACCCCCGGAGGGCUCGUGUCCCCACAGGGGAUGAGGGUCUCCGGGAGGGUGUGGGAGGCCCCCGCCUUUUGCUCCUGACCCACGUAAGCUCUGGCCACCAAGUAGCUGCUUGGGGGCCAGUGGACGGGGUGGGCGGGGCUGGGAGCGCCGUGCUUGUCAGGUGGGCGGGAGGCCCAAGGGCAGCUGCAGGCCACUGGCUCUGCGUCACCUGGCCCCGUCCUCCUUGCUCCCAACCCCGACGCCGAGACGCCUAGGGCAGGGUCGGGCUGAGGGGAGAACGGCAGUUUUAAGCUUGGCCUUUGAGUGCCAGUUGGGUCUGCCCAUCACUGCAGGCAGGGGGCAGGUGACCAGCGAAGGGAGGCUGGGCAGAGGGGGCGUCCCGAGGAGUGACCGAGCGCUCGCCAGGCACCGGGCUGAGGUCUGAUGCACGUCACCGUCACCGUGUGGAGUCCUCACACCACGAGCAGGACGGCCGGAGUCCCCUUCAAAGGGGGGACACUGAGGCCCAGAGUCAGCACCCUGGAGAUGAGUAGGAGCUCAGUGAAGGUCUGCCGCUCGACUCUUAGGAAUCUCUUGGCCCGGCCUUGAAUGGAGAAACCCAAGCUCCGGUCCUGGUUCUCUCACUAGCUUGCUGUGUGCCUGUGGGGCGGCUACCUUUGUACACACUUUAAACCCGGCACCAGAGCUUCCGGAACCUUCCAGGCUCUUCCUGCCAAGAUGGCUGCAGAGGGUGGGGGAGGCCCUCCCCACAGCAGAAGGCAAAUACCCAGAAGGGAAGCGCAGGCCCCCGGCCACGGGGCCAGCAGGGGCAGGCUUGGGAUCACAGGUGCAUCCAGGGGAGGCCACUUCUGGACCCAGGUGGUGAAUGACAGGGACGUGCGCUGCGGGGCCUUUCUGGCUUUGGCGGAAGGUAAGUGGACGCGUGGAGCCCGGGAAGCGGGGCUGGGAAUCCAACAGACCUUGAAACCCAUUUCCAAAGGCUGGAAAGCGCGUUCUGCUCCGAGCUUCCUGUUUGACAGGCUAAACCUAAGGACAGUGAAAGUCACGGUCCAAGCGGCUCCGUCAUUGCCACCACAGCGCGGGGGUCGGGCCCCGCCUGCUCCAUUUUGUAGCUGAAGGAAACUCUUCCAGAGCAGGAAGACCUGCCCAGAGCUGCACCAGGAGCCAAAGGUCACACCACCUAAAAGUCAGGCUGUUCCAAGGUCCCACUGCUGACGCGGUGGCUUCGUUCAAGGUCCGUCUGCGGGUGCCAGGUGGCCACUCAGGGCCGGAGCUCGUCCCGUGGCCACACACUGGACUCCCACGGUUCACCUCAGCCGUUCUCAAAGUGGCUAUCCCACUCCUCGGUUUAUACCCAAAGAAAGGACUUAAAAUCAGCAUACUAUGGUGACGAAGCCACAUCCAUGCUCACAGCAGCUCAGUUCACAAUAGCUAAGGUAUGGACAAACCUAGGUGCCCUUCAACAGAUGAAAAGAUAAAGAAAUGUGGUACAUGUACACAAUGGAAUAUUACU
This is a long non-coding RNA of Sciurus carolinensis (gray squirrel), 2987 nucleotides long. RefSeq lists it as uncharacterized. The record is from RefSeq and is a predicted model, not a curated record. Lineage: Eukaryota; Metazoa; Chordata; Mammalia; Rodentia; Sciuridae. The transcript has 3 exons.